This is a non-coding RNA of Paramuricea clavata, 1060 nucleotides long. The record is from the annotation of a GenBank genome assembly. Lineage: Eukaryota; Metazoa; Cnidaria; Anthozoa; Malacalcyonacea; Plexauridae.
GACACAAGUAAUUAUAGUAAUUCUGUAAUUAUAAUUACAAACACAAUGUACUGUCAUUUAAAGACUUUAUAUGUGGUCCAUGUAUAUAUGUUAAUGUAAUAUAAUAUAAAAAAUAAUGUGUAUUGUUAAAAUAUGUGAUAUAUAAUACCAUAAACCUCUGACUAUAAACCCUGGGCUUAUAUUCUUUUGAAGCGAUUUUUCAUGGGCUUAGGGGGGGGGGGCUUAUAUGCAUGGGGGCCUUAUACAUGGACAAUCAAUUGUGUUAGUAAUAAACAAGUCAGUCACUCAUAAACAGGAAAAUAAACAUGUAUUAAUAACACACUUCCAUUAACAUAGUAAGCUAUAAAGACAAUGACAGUGUUUCAAAUAUCGUUCUCUGCUAUAUUUAAAGACAAUGUCAAUGUUAAAUAACAUAGUGGGAUACCGGGCUUAUAUUCAGGGGGCUAAUAUUCAGGGGACUUAUAUUCAGGGGGGCUUAUAUUUGGGGGGGGGGGCUUAUAUUUGGAAUGAGGUGAGCAUUAUAUUCAGAGGUUUACAGUAUACAGUUGAAAAAAGCUUGUAUUUUCUUGUCAUAGACACACAUUUCUGGUUGCAUAUAGAACAGCUUAAACGUCAGGUUCUCAUGUCGACCCAAUGGUAAUUUAAUAUCGCUGCCAUCACCAUAAUAUAGUGUAGCACAGAAUGGCCUUGUAUGUAUCAUACUUUGACAUACUAUCAUGCAUGCAGAAAUGCCUUGGUCAUUCAUGUGGAGAUAUUACUAUUACGAUAGAAUUAGUUACGCCAAGUAACAUGUCGUACACGUCAGGUAGCAGCUGAAAUAUUUUAAUAUUUGCCAUAAUAUGCCCAUAACCUGUUGGCAAAACAACCAAAACAUCUUCAUCCUUUUACAAAUGGCCAAGAUACAUUUGAAUGUCUCGUCUUUUAACGAAUAUUCAAGCCCUCUUUUCGCUGGAACAGCUUUCAUAGCUCUUUUAGUAUUUGCCAUUGAAUAUAAUUUAUUAGUAGUACGAUUUAAAGCACCUUUAAACGUAUAAAAAACCAUUUUGUACACUAUAUUCUG